This 710-nucleotide long non-coding RNA is filed under the name Anser brachyrhynchus (Pink-footed goose). RNAcentral's name for it is "lncRNA (ENSABRG00000015906.1)". The record is from RNAcentral. Lineage: Eukaryota; Metazoa; Chordata; Aves; Anseriformes; Anatidae.
CUUUGACACUUCCUGCUGUUCUUGACUUCUUAUCCCAGGAAAAUGAAUGAAGAAAACAUGUGGCAGAGGAGUCUGCCUUCUGCUGAUCUCCAGGAAGCUGCAUUAGCCUCUCUGAACCUGUCUCUGCUUUCCCCAAACCUUGCUGAGGUCCAGGUUGAUUAGCCCCAGCACAGAUCACCGCUCUUGGUUAGUUAACAAUGUGUCUGCCUGCUCUUUAGCCAGGAUUCUUUCUGCGCUGAGAUAAGAAAGGAUUCUCCAGACAUGCCUUCUUCCAUUCUUUUUUUCUCUUCCCCACAGAAGCGACAGGAUGUUGACAUGAGUCCUGCCUGUCAGGGUGGAGGAGCAUGGGCUGUGGGAAGUGAGGACAGCACAAAGUGGUGGUUGUUAUUUUUCUGGUUUCUGUGGAAGAACAGGUGAAGUAUUUCACUGCCUCUGUUUGGAGCUGUCAUACUGAAAGUCUCUUUUCAAAACAUGGACAAGGUGAGGGUCACAGAAGAGCGCUGCACUGGGCUUUCAGGAAGCAAACAGAUUAAUAAGAUUUGAAGAACCCAAUGGAACAUGAUGAGGGCAAUUACAACACAAAACACAUUAGUGAUAUGGGGAGAGGUGAGGUUUUGGUGAGAUCGAUAGAGAGAGGUGGCAAAACAUCACCAGAUAUUCAGGAAUACAGAUGCUUGAAGCCUGAAACAGGAGCAGUAGAAAGUAAGUAG